GGCGUGUACUGCUCUGCUGGGCCUUACCUCUUGGUGAGCCGGCGUGGCCUUAACUGGUUGCGUCGGGGAACCAGGACUUUUACCUUGAGAAAAUUAGAGUGUUCAAAGCAGGCCUAUGCCUGAAUACAUUAGCAUGGAAUAAUAAAAUAGGACGUGCGGUUCUAUUUUGUUGGUUUCUAGAGUCGCCGUAAUGAUUAAUAGGGAUAGUUGGGGGCAUUGGUAUUGAGUCGCUAGAGGUGAAAUUCUUGGAUUGACUCAAGACCGACUACUGCGAAAGCAUUUGCCAAGGAUGUUUUCAUUAAUCAAGAACGAAGGUUAGGGGAUCGAAAACGAUCAGAUACCGUUGUAGUCUUAACAGUAAACUAUGCCGACUAGGGAUCGGGCGACCUCAAAUUUGAUGUGUCGCUCGGCACCUUACGAGAAAUCAAAGUUUUUGGGUUCUGGGGGGAGUAUGGUCGCAAGGCUGAAACUUAAAGGAAUUGACGGAAGGGCACCACCAGGUGUGGAGCCUGCGGCUUAAUUUGACUCAACACGGGGAAACUCACCAGGUCCAGACAUAACUAGGAUUGACAGAUUGAUAGCUCUUUCAUGAUUUUAUGGGUGGUGGUGCAUGGCCGUUCUUAGUUGGUGGAGUGAUUUGUCUGGUUAAUUCUGAUAACGAACGAGACCUUAACCUGCUAAAUAGCCAGGCCGGCUUCUGCUGGUCGCAGGCUUCUUAGAGGGACUGUCAG
Molecule: ribosomal RNA, 731 nt
Filed under: uncultured eukaryote
Lineage: Eukaryota
Description: SSU rRNA
Rfam family: Eukaryotic small subunit ribosomal RNA
Source: RNAcentral